RNAcentral lists this unclassified non-coding RNA (421 nucleotides) under Zea mays. RNAcentral describes it as "misc RNA Zm00001eb295620". The record is from RNAcentral. Lineage: Eukaryota; Viridiplantae; Streptophyta; Magnoliopsida; Poales; Poaceae.
CCAGGGAAGAGGCUCUGAAAAUGGAAUUGAAAAAUGACAAAGACAUAUAGAAUAUCCUCAGGACUACUGCGGGAGGCUGUAAAAAAAAUAACGAUAGCUCGGGACAGCGCCUUUUUUGUUGAUAAAGAAAUCUUGUCAAAGAGUUCGGAACUCAAGAAUAGUUUGAUUAACCCGUGUCAUAAUGUUAUAAGGGAGUUUGUUAGAGAGUCAAGAGACUGCGACUCUGACGAUUAUAAAAGAGAGUACAGGCUAAAUGAUUAUAGGCUGGAGCUGACUCAGCCACCCUCUAAUAUAAGUUCGGGGGGUGAUGUGGUAAAGACUGUUAGAAGGUGGGAACUUAUAAAUCAAAAGUACAACGCCGAUCUAUGGAUACCCCCUGCUAAAAAAGGGGUUGUGAUUACACCUGAUAUUAUAGACAAAC